GUCCACGCCGUAAACGAUGAAUACUUGGUGUUGGAGGUAUUGACCCCUUCAGUGCCGAAGCUAACGCGUUAAGUAUUCCGCCUGGGAAGUACGGUCGCAAGAUUAAAACUCAAAGAAAUUGACGGGGGCCCCGCACAAGCGGUGGAGCAUGUGGUUCAAUUCGAUGCAACGCGAAGAACCUUACCUGGAUUUGACAUAUACUGGAAGACUACCAGAAAUGGUGUCGCCUUCGGGCCGGUAAACAGGUGCUGCAUGGCUGUCGU
RNAcentral lists this ribosomal RNA (263 nucleotides) under uncultured bacterium. RNAcentral's name for it is "partial 16S ribosomal RNA". It matches the Rfam family "Bacterial small subunit ribosomal RNA", at positions 793 to 1055 of the family's 1533-position model. The record is from RNAcentral.